AGGGCCUUGUAUGCUUGCUUGUGGGUAGAAUAACAGUGGCGUCGGAGACGUGUUGAUGGAAGUUGGGCAUCAAGUGUCUUAAUGAUGUGGAAUUAAAAUCACAGGCAACCAGACAUGCAGCCUCUGGAUGUAAGUUUUCCUGCUUGUUUAUAGCCUUGUAUAGUUCAGUAAGUGCCAGCUUGUUGUUUUUCUUGUCCUGAGGAGGAAUAUAUACAACAGUCAUGAUAACAGCUGAAAACUCCCUCGGGAGGUAGAAGUGGCGCCAUUUGACCAUCAGGUAUUCCAAGACCGGUGAACAAUGGGUUGACACUUCCACUGAACUCGAGUCAGCACACCAGUUGUUGUUGAUGAAGAGGCUAACCCCUCCCCCUCUCGAUUUCUCUGACUGCACUGUCCUGUCCGCGUGGAGAAUGGAGAAUCCAUCAAGUUGGAUAGCAUUGGGGAGUAUCUUGUCCGAGAGCCAUGUUUCAGAAAAGCAGAAAAUAUUGCAGUAUUGAGAGUCCCGUUGGUGGCUGGCUUUCCCUUCGCCUAAAUCUCGCUAGGAUUCCCCCUCUCUUGCCUCUGUAACGGUGGCGUUUCCUCUUGCGUAGCCUGAAAAUGUGGUCAGAAGUACAGAAAGAGCCCUGGGCAGAUGAGUCAAAGUCAAAGUUGAAGCCAGAAUUGCGAUUACAUCUUCAAACUAAGGGCAACCAUGUUUCCACACAGAGAGGGAGAAGGAUCUGAUGAUUCUUAUGGCAUUGCACACGGUCAGUGUGAACCAGAGUGACUUGACACAAUGGGCCAAGCAAGCUGUACAAACAAAACAUAAACAAAACAGGACGUCUUAUUUAAUGAAAGGGGUUGCAGUCUGCCAUGAAGCGUUCAUCCAUGUAUACGGCAUCAGCAGAACACGCCUGACUCUCCUCCACCAGUCAUACAAGGAGAAUGGUCUGAUGCUUCCUAUCAAAAAGAGAGCUGGCCCAAACAAGUACAGGUUACACGUGAAGCACGAGGACUUAGUGUGUUGUGAACUUCAUCAUCAACUACGCAGAGGAUAAUGCAGUAGUAUUACCAGGACACCACCCAGGACACAAACCCUUUGGUGGAAAGCUGCUGCCAUCCCAUGUGACAAAAGCAGCAGUGUGGCGUCUCUACAAGGAAUCGAUGACAACACUCGGUACGUAAAGCAUAAACAAGACAUUUUGAUUAUUUAAUUGACCUCCAACAUGAUUGGCACUACUUUUAUCGAUCUCACAUUAUUUCUGUAUUUUCCGGAGGUACGUGUAGUCAUGCUGCCUUCCUUCAGGAAUCUGUGGAGAAAAUUGCUGCCCCACAUCUCAAGUGCUAAGCCCAGGAAAGACCUGUACUGACAGUGCCAGAGGAACAACUAUCAGGUCUUCAGAUCUACCAAUCUGCCAGAAGCUGUUAAAUCAGCCAAGCUGAAGAAGCAAGAGCAGCAUCUCCUGCUUGUUCAGAAUGAGUGAUCUGUCUACCAUAAGAUGGUUGCUGACUGCAAGACCACCUGUCAAGACCUGCAGUUGUCUCUGGGGGCCCCUACUGAACCAGCAAGCAAGCGAUAGAUAGAUAGAUAGAUAGAUAGAUAGAUAGAUAGAUAGAUAGAUAGAUAGAUAGAUAGAUAGAUAGAUAGAUAGAUAGAUAGAUAGAUAGAUAGAUAGAUAGAUA
This 1662-nucleotide long non-coding RNA is filed under the name Salmo salar (Atlantic salmon). Its description in RNAcentral is "lncRNA (ENSSSAG00000109951.1)". Lineage: Eukaryota; Metazoa; Chordata; Actinopteri; Salmoniformes; Salmonidae. The record is from RNAcentral.